Molecule: RNA transcript, 1301 nt
Organism: Cryptotermes secundus
Lineage: Eukaryota; Metazoa; Arthropoda; Insecta; Blattodea; Kalotermitidae
Gene: MCTS1
Gene name: malignant T-cell-amplified sequence 1 homolog
Exons: 7
Source: RefSeq, a predicted model, not a curated record
GCGAAAGGCUGAUCGUUGUAGUACUUUGUAAUUAAAGUGUACAUAGCGUAUUUACUGUAGAAUUAUUCCGGCUAAUGUUCUGUAAUUUAGAAAGUCUUGUAGAUGAACUGAAAUAUUAGAAAUGUUUAAAAAGUUUGAAGAAAAGGAGAGCGUCUCAGGUGUGCAGCAGUUGAAGUCUUCUGUUCAAAAAGGGAUCCGCACAAAGCUUCUGGAACAGUAUCCAUAUUUGGAAAGUUACGUGGACAGUAUUCUUCCAAAAAAGGACACAUAUCGUAUAGUUAAGUGUCAUGACCAUAUAGAAAUCCUAGUAAACAGCAGUGGUGAACUCCUUUUCUUCUGGCAUAGAGAAAGACUAUGGAUCCCUACAUUACGUCUCUUGCAUAAAUAUCCGUUCUUCCUCCCAUGGGAGCAGGUGGAUAAAGGAGCCAUUCGUUUUGUUCUCAGUGGUGCCAACAUCAUGUGUCCAGGUCUUACAUCACCUGGAGCUAAGAUGACACCUGUUCCUAAAGGGACAGUGGUUGCAGUUAUGGCAGAAGGAAAGCAACAUGCAUUAGCAGUUGGGAUGACUGCUCUGUCAACAGAAGAAAUGUGGAUAGUACCGUCUACUGGGAGGCGAUCUGUGUGCUGCAUGGUAAUACUGUGACCUAGUGUACUGGUAUGGAGAAGUUGGAUAUGGAUUGUGUGAUGUUGCAGCUGAGCUUGCACCAGGAACAUGGGGGCUCAGCUGUACUGUCCAAGGAGGUGCAGAUGUAUUGUCAGGAACAGGAGCUGGCACAGUUACAGAGUGCCUAUAAGAGAAGUGAAUUCAGAUGCAGAGUCAGUUUGGGGCAGUUACGAGGGAAUAAUAGCAGCAGAAGCACGCAAAGAAGCAAGCAGGAAGAGAGCAAAUUGGAACUAGGAGUACAGAAGAGUACAAGAGGUCAGCAUUUAAGGAUUUAACAUGUGAUGUGAAGACCUUAUGUGUGCUAUAGUGCAGUGGUAUUGGGAGUGCAUGGUUUAGGGAGAUUUUUAUAGUUCCUGCAUAAGACUAGUGGAGAUAGACUGAAGAGAAUAGUGUGGAAUGAUUGUAAAUUGUGUAAAUCAGCAAUCGUGUUAUAAUUAAUUGUAGUUGUGACCUGUAGGCUAUUAAAAAUCCAAUUACCAACCCAAACCCGUGUAUUAGUCACGGAUACACAAGACAAAAUAAUUAACUGAAACAUAAAAAUGGAAUUCAUAAACGGCUAAAACAAACGGUUUUUAAGUUAAACAGAUUAAGUAAUCAGAAUUACUGGGUUUUUGGACUUUUCCAUCAUCCAGUAUUC